RNAcentral lists this ribosomal RNA (468 nucleotides) under uncultured bacterium. RNAcentral's name for it is "partial 16S ribosomal RNA". It matches the Rfam family "Bacterial small subunit ribosomal RNA", at positions 28 to 507 of the family's 1533-position model. The record is from RNAcentral.
GACGAACGCUGGCGGCGUGCUUAACACAUGCAAGUCGAACGGAAAGGCCCUGCUUUUGUGGGGUGCUCGAGUGGCGAACGGGUGAGUAACACGUGAGUAACCUGCCCUUGACUUUGGGAUAACUUCAGGAAACUGGGGCUAAUACCGGAUAGGAGCUCCUGCUGCAUGGUGGGGGUUGGAAAGUUUCGGCGGUUGGGGAUGGACUCGCGGCUUAUCAGCUUGUUGAUGGGGUAGUGGCUUACCAAGGCUUUGACGGGUAGCCGGCCUGAGAGGGUGACCGGCCACAUUGGGACUGAGAUACGGCCCAGACUCCUACGGGAGGCAGCAGUGGGGAAUAUUGCACAAUGGGCGGAAGCCUGAUGCAGCAACGCCGCGUGCGAGAUGACGGCCUUCGGGUUGUAAACCGCUUUCGCCUGUGACGAAGCGUGAGUGACGGUAAUGGGUAAAGAAGCACCGGCUAACUACGUG